AUGGUCUUGCCGCACCGGGCCCUGCCCGCGUACCACUUUGAAGACAGCGACACCACGUACUCCUCGUCGCUGUGGUACUGGCCGUCGCACGACGCCGGUCCGCCACCUCACUCUCCUUGCUGGAAGCCGCUCACCGUCAUCACCACCGGGACGUUCUGUCCAAGUUCAAACUUUGUCGUCCCUGCGGUGUGA
Molecule: ribosomal RNA, 192 nt
Filed under: Triticum aestivum (bread wheat)
Lineage: Eukaryota; Viridiplantae; Streptophyta; Magnoliopsida; Poales; Poaceae
Description: partial small subunit ribosomal RNA
Source: RNAcentral